This 253-nucleotide ribosomal RNA is filed under the name uncultured bacterium. RNAcentral describes it as "partial 16S ribosomal RNA". It matches the Rfam family "Bacterial small subunit ribosomal RNA", at positions 524 to 776 of the family's 1533-position model. The record is from RNAcentral.
UACAGAGGUCUCAAGCGUUGUUCGGAUUCAUUGGGCGUAAAGGGUGCGUAGGCGGCGCGGUAAGUCGGGUGUGAAAUCUCGGAGCUUAACUCCGAAACUGCAUUCGAUACUGCCGUGCUUGAGGACUGGAGAGGAGACUGGAAUUUACGGUGUAGCGGUGAAAUGCGCAGAUAUCAGGAGGAACACCAAUGGCGAAGGCAGCUCGCUGGGACGGUACUGACGCUGAGGCGCGAAAGCGUGGGGAGCAAACAGG